Parasteatoda tepidariorum (common house spider) is the source of this 491-nucleotide non-coding RNA. NCBI's taxonomy places the organism in Eukaryota, Metazoa, Arthropoda, Arachnida, Araneae, Theridiidae. The record is from RefSeq and is a predicted model, not a curated record.
UUAAGGUUUAUUUGAUGAAAAAAAUGAUAUUGAGGGCAAAAACCUGUUCCAAGUUACUCCUAACAAGCACAAGACUUUUAAAGAAAUAGCAUCUGUUGAAAACUCUCCUCGGUCUUCCAAGAAAUCUCCUACAAAAGUAGUAACACCUAGGAGAAAUGAAAGUUCAGUUCGUCAAAAAACUAAAGCUGGAACACCAAAAACAGGAACUCCUUCAUCUCAACGAAAGUGCUCUGCUAAAAUAGAAAAUACUGUUGAAAAUAAGAGUUCUGCUCGCUUAAAACUAAAACAAGAGCUUGCAAACCUUAAAAUUGCACAAGUGGAUUCUGAUCCUGAAGACAGUGAUGAAUUAUCUGAUUAUGAGGAUGUUGCUUCUAAUGGUGAAACAACAGAUGAUGAAAACCUGUCAAACAAUGAUGUAAUCAAUAAGGAAAAUGGAGAGUUGAGUAAGCGUAGAAAAGAGAAACUUUGCAAUGUAAUUUUUUUUAUUUAUC